RNAcentral lists this ribosomal RNA (120 nucleotides) under Lepisosteus oculatus (spotted gar). Lineage: Eukaryota; Metazoa; Chordata; Actinopteri; Semionotiformes; Lepisosteidae. The record is from RNAcentral.
UAUAGCAGCUAUAUCAACCUGCAACUCACAACUCACAGCCCCACUGAAGCUCAGCAGCUGUGAGCCUGGUCAGUACCUGGAUGGGAGACCUCCUGGGAAAAACUAAGGUUGCUGCUGGAA